CGCGCCGCCGCUUCCUCCGCUCGCGGCCCCGGAUGCGCCGAGCGGAGCGGCGCCGCCUCGACCCCCGCCCCCAGCCCUCGGCCGGACGCGGCAGGAGUGCUGUCCGGGCCCGGAAUAUCAUGUCAUAUCCGUGACCGGCGCUGCGUGACCCUUGGGUCUGUGUCUGCCCCUGGCGUCUCAAGACUCGUCGUGGUGCGGGUCUGUCAUUUCGGUCCUUACAUCGCCAAGGCUGCUCCAGUGUUGUGUCCUGUCGCCGGGUGAAGGAGAACAUUAAGUUGGAUUA
Molecule: long non-coding RNA, 283 nt
Organism: Lontra canadensis (Northern American river otter)
Lineage: Eukaryota; Metazoa; Chordata; Mammalia; Carnivora; Mustelidae
Exons: 3
Source: RefSeq, a predicted model, not a curated record